GCCCGGGUGGCGGAACUGGUAUACGCAAAGGACUUAAAAUCCUUGGCCCAUUUUCGGGCUUGUGGGUUCAAAUCCCACCCCGGGCA
Molecule: transfer RNA, 86 nt
Filed under: Candidatus Giovannonibacteria bacterium
Lineage: Bacteria; Candidatus Giovannoniibacteriota
Description: tRNA-Leu
Rfam family: tRNA
About the family: Transfer RNA (tRNA) molecules are approximately 80 nucleotides in length. Their secondary structure includes four short double-helical elements and three loops (D, anti-codon, and T loops). Further hydrogen bonds mediate the characteristic L-shaped molecular structure. tRNAs have two regions of fundamental functional importance: the anti-codon, which is responsible for specific mRNA codon recognition, and the 3' end, to which the tRNAs corresponding amino acid is attached (by aminoacyl-tRNA synthetases). tRNAs cope with the degeneracy of the genetic code in two manners: having more than one tRNA (with a specific anti-codon) for a particular amino acid; and 'wobble' base-pairing, i.e. permitting non-standard base-pairing at the 3rd anti-codon position.
Source: RNAcentral